Molecule: ribosomal RNA, 827 nt
Filed under: uncultured Verrucomicrobiota bacterium
Lineage: Bacteria; Pseudomonadati; Verrucomicrobiota
Description: bacterial SSU rRNA
Rfam family: Bacterial small subunit ribosomal RNA
Source: RNAcentral
AGGGUUUGAUCAUGGCUCAGAACGAACGCUGGCGGCGUGGAUAAGACAUGCAAGUCGAGCGCGAAUCAUUCCGUAGCAAUACGGGAUGAUUUGAGCGGCGCAAGGGUGCGUAACACGUGGGUAAUUUGCCGUGAAGUUGGGGAUAACUCGCUGAAAGGCGAGCUAAUACCGGAUGUGGAAUGAGAGUGGCAUCACUUUUCUUCUAAAGCUGGGGAUCGAAAGACCUGGCGCUUCAUGAUAAGCCCGCGGCCUAUCAGCUAGUUGGUGAGGUAACGGCUCACCAAGGCAAAGACGGGUAGCUGGUCUGAGAGGACGACCAGCCACACUGGAACUGAGACACGGUCCAGACACCUACGGGUGGCAGCAGUCGAGAAUUUUUCUCAAUGGGCGCAAGCCUGAAGGAGCGACGCCGCGUGGGGGAUGAAGGGUUUCGAUCCGUAAACCCCUGUCAUUCGUGAACAAUGCUUACCAUUGAACAUUUGGUGAGUUGAUAGUAGCGGAAGAGGAAGGGACGGCUAACUCUGUGCCAGCAGCCGCGGUAAUACAGAGGUCCCGAGCGUUGUUCGGAUUCACUGGGCGUAAAGGGUGCGUAGGUGGCUGGGAAAGUUUGAUGUGAAAGCUCAGGGCUUAACCCUGAAAUGGCAUUGAAUACUAUCUGGCUGGAGGUUUGGAGGGGGGACUGGAAUUCUCGGUGUAGCAGUGAAAUGCGUAGAUAUCGAGAGGAACACCAGUGGCGAAGGCGAGUCCCUGGACAACACCUGACACUGAGGCACGAAAGCCGGGGGAGCAAACAGGAUUAGAUACCCUGGUAGUCCCGGGCCCUAAAC